Molecule: ribosomal RNA, 367 nt
Filed under: uncultured bacterium
Lineage: Bacteria
Description: bacterial SSU rRNA
Rfam family: Bacterial small subunit ribosomal RNA
Source: RNAcentral
GUAGGUGGCAAGCGUUGUCCGGAUUUAUUGGGUUUAAAGGGUGCGUAGGCGGUUUUGUAAGUCAGUGGUGAAAUAUAGCAGCUUAACUGUUAGGGUGCCAUUGAUACUGCAGAACUUGAGUACAGAUGAGGUAGGCGGAAUUGACGGUGUAGCGGUGAAAUGCUUAGAUAUCGUCAAGAACACCUAUAGCGAAGGCAGCUUACUAGGCUGUAACUGACGCUGAGGCACGAAAGUGUGGGGAUCAAACAGGAUUAGAUACCCUGGUAGUCCACACUGUAAACGUUGAUUACUCGCUGUGUGCGAUAUACAGUACGCGGCCAAGCGAAAGCGAUAAGUAAUCCACCUGGGGAGUACACCGGCAACGGUG